CUCAGAAGCUGGACAUUGUACAUGUAACAAGUCUAUGAACUUGACAUUGCAACAGAACUCAGAGGCCAGACAUUGUACAUGUAACAAGUCUAAGAAACUUGACAUUACAACAGAACUCAGAAGCCGGACAUUGUACAUGUAACAAGUCUAUGAAACUCGACAUCCCAACAGAACUCAGAAGCCAGACAUUGUACAUGUAACAAGUCUAAGAAACUUGACAUCACAACAGAACUCAGAAGCCGGACAUUGUGCAUGUAACAAGUCUAGGAAACUUGACAUUACAACAGAACUCAGAAUCUGGACAUUGUACAUGUAACAAGUCUAUGAAACUUGACAUCCCAACAGAACUCAGAAGCCAGACAUUGUACAUGUAACAAGUCUAAGAAACUUGACAUCACAACAGAACUCGGAAGCUGGACAUUGUACAUGUAACAAGUCUUAGACAAUCGACAUUACAACAGAACUCGGAAGCCAGCCAAUGAACAUGUAACAAGUCUUAGACAAUCGACAUUACAACAGAACUCGGAAGCCGGACAUUGUACAUGUAACAAGUCUAUGAAACUUGCCAUCACAACAGAACUCAGAAGCUGGAAAUUGUACAUGUUACAAGUCUAUGAAACUUGACAUUAUAACAGAACUCAGAAGCUGGACAUUGUACAUGUAACAAGUCUUAUAAAAUCGACAUUGCAACAGAACUCAGAAGCUGGACAUUGUACAUGUAACAAGUCUAUGAAACUUGACAUCACAACAGAACUUAGAAGCUGGACAUUGUACAUGUAACAAGUGUAUGAAACUUGACAUUACAACAGAACUCAGAGGCUGGACAUUGUACAUGUAACAAGUGUAUGAAACUUGACAUCACAACAGAACUCAGAAGCUGGGCAUUGUACAUGUAAUAAGUCUAUGAAACUUGACAUUACAACAGAACUCAGAAGCUGGACAUUGUACAUGGAACAAGUGUGUAACUUGACAUCACAAAAGAACUCAGAAGCCAGACAUUGUACAUGUAACAAGUGUAUGAAACUUGACAUUACAACAGAACUCAGAGGCUGGACAUUGUACAUGUAGCAAGUGUAUGAAACUUGACAUCACAACAGAACUCAGAGGCUGGACAUUGUACAUGUAGCAAGUCUAUGAAACUUGACAUUACAACAGAACUCAGAGGCCAGACAUUGUACAUGUAACAAGUCUAAGAAACUUCACAUUGCAACAGGACUCAAAAAAUAUUAUGAUUCAAAGUCUUGAAAAUUGUCAUUGUUACAAGACUUAGAAACUUGACUGGUCAUAAGACUUUAAGAAUUUAUGAUUACAGAACUCAAAGAAGGAAACAAAACUUGUCCUAGUAAAAAGAGUUUUCAAUUUGACAUGUUGACAAAACUUAGAAACUUGACACGAUAA
Molecule: long non-coding RNA, 1398 nt
Organism: Mizuhopecten yessoensis (Yesso scallop)
Lineage: Eukaryota; Metazoa; Mollusca; Bivalvia; Pectinida; Pectinidae
Exons: 2
Source: RefSeq, a predicted model, not a curated record